AAGCGUUGUUCGGAAUUACGGGGCGUAAAGGGCGCGUAGGCGGCCACCUAAGUCAGACGUGAAAUCCCUCGGCUCAACCGGGGAACUGCGUCUGAUACUGGGCGGCUUGAAUUCGGGAGAGGAAUGCGGAAUUCCAGGUGUAGCGGUGAAAUGCGUAGAUAUCUGGAGGAACACCGGUGGCGAAGGCGGCAUUCUGGACCGACAUUGACGCUGAGGCGCGAAAGCCAGGGGAGCAAACGGG
Molecule: ribosomal RNA, 241 nt
Filed under: uncultured bacterium
Lineage: Bacteria
Description: partial 16S ribosomal RNA
Rfam family: Bacterial small subunit ribosomal RNA
Source: RNAcentral